UUCCGGUUGAUCCUGCCGGACCCGACUGCUAUCGGAUUGAGAUUUAGCCAUGCGAGUCGAACGUCCCCCUGUUGCGGGGGGCGUGGCGUACGGCUCAGUAACACGUAGUCAACCUGCCCUCGAGACGUGGACAACCCCGGGAAACUGGGAUUAAUUCCAUGAUAGGCCAUCUCAUCUGGAAGGAGAGAUGACUUAAAGGGGUGUGCGAGCUUCUUUCGCGCAUCUGCUCGAGGAUGGGACUGCGACCGAUCAGGCUGUUGGCGGGGUAAUGGCCCACCAAACCUGUAACCGGUACGGGCCUUGAGAGAGGGGGCCCGGAGAUGGACACUGAGAGAAGGGUCCAGGUCCUACGGGGCGCAGCAGGCGCGAAACCUUCGCAAUGCGCGAAAGCGUGACGAGGUUAAUCCGAGUGGUCCCCGCUGAGGGGAUCUUUUGCCGGCUGUAAAAAGGCCGGUGAAUAAGGGGAGGGCAAGUCUGGUGUCAGCCGCCGCGGUAAUACCAGCUCCUCGAGUGGUCGGGGCGAUUAUUGGGCCUAAAGCAUCCGUAGCCUGUUCUGUAGGUCUUCUGUUAAAUCCAACGGCUUAACCGUUGGCAGGCAGAGGAUACCGCAGGACUAGGAGGCGGGAGAGGUGGGCGGUACUCCACGUGUAGGGGUAAAAUCCUUUGAUCCGUGGAAGACCACCAGUGGCGAAGGCGGCCCACCAGAACGCGCUCGACGGUGAGGGAUGAAAGCUGGGGGAGCGAACCGGAUUAGAUACCCGGGUAGUCCCAGCCGUAAACGAUGCGAGCUAG
This 792-nucleotide ribosomal RNA is filed under the name uncultured archaeon. RNAcentral describes it as "bacterial SSU rRNA". It matches the Rfam family "Archaeal small subunit ribosomal RNA", at positions 1 to 770 of the family's 1478-position model. The record is from RNAcentral.